This 396-nucleotide ribosomal RNA is filed under the name uncultured bacterium. RNAcentral describes it as "partial 16S ribosomal RNA". It matches the Rfam family "Bacterial small subunit ribosomal RNA", at positions 523 to 917 of the family's 1533-position model. The record is from RNAcentral.
AUACGUAGGGGGCGAGCGUUGUCCGGAAUGAUUGGGCGUAAAGGGCGCGUAGGCGGCCCGGUAAGUCUGGAGUGAAAGUCCUGUUUUUAAGAUGGGAAUUGCUUUGGAUACUGUCGGGCUUGAGUGCAGGAGAGGUAAGUGGAAUUCCCAGUGUAGCGGUGAAAUGCGUAGAGAUUGGGAGGAACACCAGUGGCGAAGGCGACUUACUGGACUGUAACUGACGCUGAGGCGCGAAAGUGUGGGGAGCAAACAGGAUUAGAUACCCUGGUAGUCCACACUGUAAACGAUGAAUGCUAGGUGUAGGGGGUAUCGACCCCUUCUGUGCCGCAGUCAACACAAUAAGCAUUCCGCCUGGGGAGUACGGCCGCAAGGUUGUAACUCAAAGGAAUUGACGGG